AUAUAUUAAACAGCUCCAAUGAACUUACCCAAAUAGGGCCUUGGUUUUUUUCUGAUGAAAAAGGCUCCCUUUAUCUUCCUCUCCCCGUGGUAUGGUGACCACUGUGUGGGCUGAAUCUACUAUCUGCAGCAAACAGAAUAACCAGACGCUUCCUUACACCAUUUUCCAACUACAAGCCUUGGAAGUCUGUGCCAGAGGGAAUCAUCACCAUUGAUUUUUAUUGUGCCUUUCUUUGACUAUAUGCCACACUGCUACUUCUAUCAAAUGAAGACGGUGGCAUGUUAACAAGUAGCAAGAGAUGCCUGUUAUUAUUGGAGAGAUGUAAGAAUGUGAAACAGUUGAAGCAAUCUCAUGCACAAGUAAUCAUGUGCGGGCUUGGAGAUAAUAACUUUGCCUUGAGCCGAUUGUUGGCUUUCUGCUCUGACCCACUUCACGGUAGCCUAUCCUAUGGAUGGAAAGUCUUUCAACACAUUGAACAACCCACAAUUUGCAUUUGCAACACAAUGAUAAAAGCUUUCCUGCUCAAGGGUGAACUACUCAAUACCAUACAAAUCUAUACACAUAUGCUCAGAAAUGGAAUGUGCCCUGAUAAUUACACAUUGCCUUAUGUGUUGAAGGCUUGUGCAAACAUGAAAAGCUUCCAUCUAGGGGAGUCAAUUCAUGGGCAUUGUUUGAAACUGGGAUUUUUGUUUGAUACUUUUGUGGGUAAUAGUUUGAUUGUCAUGUAUUCUGCAUUCAAUGAUAUGAAUGCAGCAAGAUGUGUGUUUGCUGAAGUUCCUGGACACGAUGUUGUGUCAUCGACAGCCUUGAUUUCUGGGUAUGCAAAAGCAGGGGAUGUUGACUCAGCAAGACUGUUGUUUGAUGAAGCACCUGUAAAGGAUAGAGGGGUAUGGGGUUCAAUGAUAUCUGGGUAUGUGCAGAAUUGUCGUUUUAAGGAGGGAUUGCAGAUGUUUCGGUUAAUGCAGUUUACCGGCAUUGAGCCCGAUGAGGCCAUAUUUGUGAGCAUACUCUGUGCUUGUGCUCAUUUAGGUGCUUUAGCUAUUGGGAUAUGGGUUCACAGAUACUUGGAUAUUGUCAAAUUGCCACUAAGUGUUCGGUUGGGCACUAGUCUUAUAGACAUGUAUGCUAAAUGUGGGUACUUGGAUUUAGCUGAGGAGGUGUUUUAUGAAAUGCCACAAAGAGAUACCAUUUGUUGGAAUGCUAUGAUUUCCACAUGGGCAAUGCAUGGAGAUGGAGAGCGUGCUCUUCAAUUGUUUUCGGAGAUGGAGAAGGCUAGAAUCAAGCCUGAUGAUGUUUCAUUCAUUGCUAUUUUCACUGCAUGUAGUUAUUCAGGUAUGGCAUACGAAGGCCUAAAGGUGUUUAGCCGUAUGUGUAAUGUGUACAAUAUUGAACCCAAAAGUGAACACUAUGGGUGUAUAAUUGACUUUCUAGGCCGGGCUGGGCUCCUUGAAGAAGCAAAGGAAAUCAUCAAACGAAUGCCCAUUUCAAGCAGCCACUCUGAAGAAGCGGUGGCUUGGAGAGCACUAAUGAGUGCAUCUUGUAGUCAUGGAAACAUUCAUUUGGCUGAGAUUGCAGCUGAUAGACUCGUUCAGUUGGAACGCCAUAGCGGGGUCUAUGUUCUGCUCUCAAAUCUAUAUUCAACUGCUGGUAAACAUGACAGUGCAAGAAAAAUGAGGAAGAUGAUGAAAAGCCGAGGGAUAGAGAAGACACCUGGCUGCAGCUCGGUUGAUGUUAAUGGGGUUGUUCAUGAGUUCAUUGCAGGGGAGAAAACACACCCACAAAUGGAAGAUGUUCAUAGCCUUUUGGAGACAAUGUACAAGCAUUUGGGUUAUUUACCAUUCAAUCUGAAUCUUGCUUUGAGUUGAUGCCAACCUAUGCUGUUGAUGGUUGGAAUUUGUUCCGCAUCUCGACAACCAUGGUUGUUUGCAGAAGCAUACCUUUCUGAGGUGUUUGCAUCUUUGGUAUCUCUUGCAUCAAAGAUGAGUUUCUGUUUGGACAUGACAAGCAAAUUAUUAUUUGUAAAUGGUGUGUAGUGUCCUCUCAGAUCUUUGAAAGUUGCCACUUUUCUGUGGAAUUCCUUUGUUUAUUGUUUAUAGUUUUAUCUUUUCUCAUGUUGUUUAGCUCAGGUGUACACAGUGGGUGCUAGAUUUUGCUUGGGGUUUUGAAACAGUCAUAGAAAAUCUCGCACUUCGACGGUACUAAGUUGCAUUUCUCAUCAGCUAAACUAACUCAGAACUGUAUGUAAAUUAGAUUAGUCAUGCAUUAAAAGUUAUUAUGGUUGCUCAGCGUAAUGGUAAAAUCCCAGGUGUCAAGCAUGAGAAUGUAGGUACGAGCUUGAGGGAAGCCGUUUUGUGGAAAUAAUGCAAGUCUGGUCUAUACUUGAUUCACCCAUUCUUGCUUCUUACCUUGGCAACACCAACAAUCGAUUAAGAAAGAGAUACUAUCAGCCGAGCCUUCUGUGAAAGCGUUUGUCUUUGGAACACACAGGAUUUUUCAAGAAAGUAAGGGGGGAAGCUGGUCUCCAACACCGUAAAGGAGAGAAGGAGCAUCAGUAGUCUGUCAGAUGACUAGCAGCACAUUGUACAGCAGAGCAUGGUUUUUAUGAAGUUUCUUUUGGCAUUUGCUGAACUUGGGGAGGGUUUAAUGAAGAAUUAUAGUCUUUGGAACCCAUCAAUUUAAUCUCCUAUUUGGGAAAUUUUUAGAUAUGCAAACAGUGUAAUCUAUUCUUGUGAAUUUUUUAAGCCAAAUGAAUAUGUAGCUUAUAUGAAACAUACAUAUGAAUGAAUUGCUUGUAGUUUAAAUUGUCUAAUACUUGGUUCGUUUUAACAGAAAAUAUUUUAUUUUC
This is a non-coding RNA of Camellia sinensis, 2845 nucleotides long. The record is from RefSeq and is a predicted model, not a curated record. Lineage: Eukaryota; Viridiplantae; Streptophyta; Magnoliopsida; Ericales; Theaceae.